Molecule: long non-coding RNA, 426 nt
Filed under: Anas platyrhynchos platyrhynchos (common mallard)
Lineage: Eukaryota; Metazoa; Chordata; Aves; Anseriformes; Anatidae
Description: lncRNA (ENSAPLG00000016606.1)
Source: RNAcentral
AGAUUUUAGGUUUCUAGAAAAAAAAUAAUUAUAUAUAUAUACAUAUAUAUAUAUAUAUAUACACACACACACACACCAAAACGAAGAUAGAAAUUGAUUUCCAGUGCCAUUGGGGAAAAGGCAGUAUUUGACAGUUUGCCAUCUGAAUCACUUUCAAAGGUUGUUUUUUUUUGUGUGUGUGGAAAAUCUGGCUCAAGAAAUUUUUCUCUCUUUGAUAGAUCUGGAUCUGAUUUUCACCCUUUAUCACACCAAAGGAUAGCCCUCACCAACCCACAAUGUAAGCUGCAGAAUGUUGAUGAGAACGAGAACCAAGAGCUCUCAGCUGAGGCUGAAAGUCCACGUGAGCCAACAAACUGCAGGCUCCAAACCCCACUAAGCCUGUGCUCUGACCAUAAACUGGAUCCCAAGGAAGCCCUGAAUACACUG